This 385-nucleotide ribosomal RNA is filed under the name uncultured bacterium. RNAcentral's name for it is "bacterial SSU rRNA". It matches the Rfam family "Bacterial small subunit ribosomal RNA", at positions 29 to 417 of the family's 1533-position model. The record is from RNAcentral.
AUUGAACGCUGGCGGAAUGCUUUACACAUGCAAGUCGAGCGGCAGCGCGGGGCAACCUGGCGGCGAGCGGCGAACGGGUGAGUAACACAUCGGAACGUGCCCAGACGUGGGGGAUAGCCCGGCGAAAGCCGGAUUAAUACCGCAUACGAUCUGAGGAUGAAAGCGGGGGAUCGCAAGACCUCGCGCGUUUGGAGCGGCCGAUGGCAGAUUAGGUAGUUGGUGGGGUAAAGGCUUACCAAGCCUGCGAUCUGUAGCUGGUCUGAGAGGACGACCAGCCACACUGGAACUGAGACACGGUCCAGACUCCUACGGGAGGCAGCAGUGGGGAAUUUUGGACAAUGGGCGCAAGCCUGAUCCAGCCAUUCCGCGUGAGUGAAGAAGGCCU